GAUGAACGCUGGCGGCGUGCUUAACACAUGCAAGUCGAACGGAAAGGCCCUAGCUUGCUUGCGUGCUCGAGUGGCGAACGGGUGAGUAACACGUGGUUGAUCUGCCCUUCACUUUAGGAUAAGCCUGGGAAACUGGUUCUAAUACCGGCUAGGACCAUCGUUUAGUGUCGGGGAUGGCUUGUUUUUCGGUGUAGGGUGCGCUCGCCGCCUAUCAGCUUGUUGGUGGGGUGAUGGGCUACCAAGGCGUCGACGGGGAGCCGGGCUGGGAGGGGGUACGGCCAAAAUUGGGAUUGGAAACGGGCCAGGCUCCCACGGGAGGGAGGAGGGGGGGAAAUUGCAAAAAGGGCGCAAGGCGGAUGCAAGCGCGGCGGGGGGGGGGAGACCGGCUUUGGGUUGUAAACCCCUUUCGCCAAGGACGAAGCGGUUUGUGACGGUACUUGGAGAAGAAGCACCGGCUAACUACGUG
Molecule: ribosomal RNA, 466 nt
Filed under: uncultured bacterium
Lineage: Bacteria
Description: partial 16S ribosomal RNA
Rfam family: Bacterial small subunit ribosomal RNA
Source: RNAcentral